Perca fluviatilis (European perch) is the source of this 236-nucleotide long non-coding RNA. RefSeq lists it as uncharacterized. The record is from RefSeq and is a predicted model, not a curated record. Lineage: Eukaryota; Metazoa; Chordata; Actinopteri; Perciformes; Percidae. The transcript has 3 exons.
CGGACAGCACAGCAGCAUGACACUGCCAACUGCAGCUCCAGUGUGAGCAACGCUUCAGCUCUUGGACAUCAGCCACGAGGUGGAAAAGGACUGGGACCACCAGACUGUUUUAGAACGCAUCAGGGAUGGCUUUGGUGAGCACAUUCCAGACGAUGUCAGCUAUAAGAGAGGACUGGUAAUACAUUGCUGGCAAAGCCAUUGCUGUGAGCUUGGUACAUGGCGGUCCACCACCAAAC